This 1267-nucleotide long non-coding RNA is filed under the name Homo sapiens (human). RNAcentral describes it as "long intergenic non-protein coding RNA 1227". Lineage: Eukaryota; Metazoa; Chordata; Mammalia; Primates; Hominidae. The record is from RNAcentral.
CUGGCAGAGGGGCCCAGUCUAGUCUGUGACCUGAGCCAUCAUGGUAGGGUGUCCAGGGUGAGGGGAGGGUGGUGUGAAUCCCCAGUAAUGCAGGUCCUUUCCAGGCCAGGCCCCUGGUCCCCAGGAGUGCGGGGAUGCCUGAGGUCUACUGCUGCCUUAUCCAGAGCUGCCAUCCCCGGCGAUGACUCAGAGUUCCUGUGGCCCCAGCAUCAUCCCUCCAUCCCUGGCUGUGAGGCAGGAGCAGAGUUGCAGACCUGAGAGGCCUUGAAUUUGUUUGAUAUAGGACUUUGCCACCAGACAAAGUGCUUUGCCUGUGAGGUCUGGCUUGGCCUGGCCUCUGAGAAAGAACAAACACAGACCUCACUGGAAGGAACCUGGAGAACGGGAGAGGAGAGGCUGCUGCUGUCUGCCCUCCCAGCAGCAGAUAUAAAGACAAUGGGCUUCUAAGUCCCCUAGAGUCCCAGCUGUGUAAUUUAAGGCGAGUUCAUCUCUCACAGCCUCAGUUUCCUCAUUUGCUGGCACCUGUCUUUCUCCUUCAUAGCCAUUGUCACUGUUGCAAUGAUAUCAACAAUGCUUACAUUUCAGAUAGAUCCCCAGCUGGGUUGAAAGGAACGUCAAGACCCUUCCUUUCUUAUGACCUAUGUAUCAACUCCCUUCUACCUUGCCUCCCUCCACUUGGAGCGAGUUCUAGUUGGUGAAAUGUAGCCAGAGGUUCCUGGAAAGGCUUUCCUUCUCAAGUAAAGCCUGGCUCAGAGAAAACCACUGGUCUCUUUCCUUUUCUUCCUCCUGACAUGAACAUGGGGCAGGAAGGAGCAUGGAGAAGACAAGAACAAGGCUCUCAGAAGGAAAUGGUGUGGCUGGAGCCAUGAGAACUGGUUGUGGAGGGGGUGAGGAAGGCAAAUAUAAUUUCUGACCUACGUAAUGAUGUAUGCACAAGAAGCCUCUCUUGAAUGUAUUAAUUCAGUAAACAGUUAUGGAGUCCUUACAAUGUGCUAGUGGGACUUUGAAGAUGAAUCCAAAUUUGGAUCCUGGCCUGGAAAGGCUCAAAGCCCAAUAUGGGAGCCUGGAUACAAAUGUGAAACUUAUCUUCUUUUAUUAACCAAUCAAUCACCUCCUGCCAAAACAACAUCAGCAAAAACAACAGAAAAAAACAAAAACAAAAACAAAAACAAAUCUGUGUACACAAGACCUUUGUUUCCACAGCAGACUUGGCUAAAGGUUUGGGCAUGCAUAUGCAUACCCCCAAAAUUAAAAAUGGAAAAUUGAA